Molecule: microRNA, 22 nt
Filed under: Echinops telfairi (small Madagascar hedgehog)
Lineage: Eukaryota; Metazoa; Chordata; Mammalia; Afrosoricida; Tenrecidae
Description: Ete-Mir-10-P2b_3p* (star (passenger))
Source: RNAcentral
CAAGCUCGUGUCUGUGGGUCGG